Molecule: ribosomal RNA, 225 nt
Filed under: Actinomycetales bacterium TLI089
Lineage: Bacteria; Bacillati; Actinomycetota; Actinomycetes; Actinomycetales
Description: partial 16S ribosomal RNA
Rfam family: Bacterial small subunit ribosomal RNA
Source: RNAcentral
UCUAAUACCGGAUACGACCUGBCGAGGCAUCUCGGUGGGUGGAAAGCUCCGGCGGUGAAGGAUGAGCCCGCGGCCUAUCAGCUUGUUGGUGGGGUAAUGGCCUACCAAGGCGACGACGGGUAGCCGGSCUGAGAGGGCGACCGGCCACACUGGGACUGAAACACGGCCCAGACUCCUACGGGAGGCAGCAGUGGGGAAUAUUGCACAAUGGGCGAAAGCCUGAUG